Molecule: long non-coding RNA, 1314 nt
Organism: Gambusia affinis (western mosquitofish)
Lineage: Eukaryota; Metazoa; Chordata; Actinopteri; Cyprinodontiformes; Poeciliidae
Exons: 3
Source: RefSeq, a predicted model, not a curated record
CGCAUGAAGAAUGACUUCAUCCUCAGCUGGUGUGUUUGGGAAGAAUGCUGGGAAAUUUUCCUCGUGACAUUCCUGAUCUGAAAAGAAGACUGCAGCUCGGAUAAAUUUGGGAGCUUUUAAAGGAGUGUGUUGACAUGUUUUAAGUUUUUAUUGACCAGAUUUUCUUAUUGUCUGAAAAAGUUUGGAGUUUAAAUACUUUCCAGAUCUGGAUGAAUACGGAAGAAGAAAACUGAAUGUGAAAAACUUUUAGACUGGUUUUUUUCUUAAUCUCUUUUUAAAAAAAACAAAAAAAAAAAAAACGUGUCUGCAUCUCCCUGAGAUCCGUUCUCUCAGGGAGAGAAGUUUCAGAAUAACUCGAGUCCUGGAGUUUCAAAGUUUCGUCCUUCCAUCAUUGUGUCCUUCCUCCCUUUUCACAUCAAUCCAUCAGUUUCUUUCAUUCUUGCUUCUACUUAUCCUUCACCCAUCAACUUUUCUGGCCAGAUGUCCAUCAGUUUCUUACAUCUGUCUGUUGGUGAGUUUCUAAUAUUUGUCCUUCAUCCCUCCUCAUAUUCAUCCAUACUUCCUGUCAUGUUUUUUUUUUUUUAACCUCUACACUUUGUUUUCUGAAAUGGAUUGUGAAAUAUAUUGUUUAGAUUUGUUUUGACCUGAAAAGUGUGUGGCAAGUUUUAUAAUUGUGUUCUCCUUUUCUGUUUUUAUUCAUGAUUUUAUUAUGGAUUUGCAGAAACAAGUGUGCAUGCUUUUAUUUUGAAAAUAUAUUUUUUCUUAUUCAGCGUUGAAAAUGAUGGUAAAUCACUGAACCUGAGUCUCCUGCGUGUUUCAGACGUCUCUGCUCUCACCCCCGAUUUAAAGGAUCUGAUUGGCUCCACAGUUAAUUAUCUACAGAAAUCAGGUGUGGUGAAUCAUGGGAGAACUGGAGAAAGGGCUGUAAAGCAAUCGGGGAGGUUUGUGGUCUGCAGGUCGGAGCAUCAGAGCCUCUGCUGGUUGCCAUGGAAAACACCAAACAUCUUGUUGCAACUCGCCGUCCUGCUGUGUAACUCGGCCUCCCCUGCAGAAGAUCUGCAGGGACGAAUCCCACUGAAGGUUCCGCAUGACCUUUGACCUCCAGCCUUCCCCUCCUGUUGUCCACGCCCCGUCAGAAUGACUUGUUUUACAGCAUCUUGUCACUUUAAAUCCAAAUAAAGUGCUUCUGGCCACGCCCCCCCCAACUCAACAUUUCCAUUCACACGUAAAUGGUUGAAAACGGAUGCGCAAUGUACAACCGUACAUCUUUGAAAAGCAGAAGGGGAGCCUCCUGCCCAACAAACAAGAAGUUUC